Molecule: non-coding RNA, 113 nt
Organism: Acanthosepion pharaonis
Lineage: Eukaryota; Metazoa; Mollusca; Cephalopoda; Sepiida; Sepiidae
Source: the annotation of a GenBank genome assembly
UAUGGUCACAUCACGUUGAAACGCCGGUUCCCGUACAAUCACCGAAGUUAAGAAAUGUCGAGCCUGGUCAGUACCUAGAUGAGUGACUGCUUGGGAAUACAAAGUGCUGUAAG